GACGAACGCUGGCGGCGUGCCUAAUACAUGCAAGUAGAACGCUGAAGCGAGGAGCUUGCUCUUCUUGGAUGAGUUGCGAACGGGUGAGUAACGCGUAGGUAACCUGCCUUGUAGCGGGGGAUAACUAUUGGAAACGAUAGCUAAUACCGCAUAACAAUGGAUGACACAUGUCAUUUAUUUGAAAGGGGCAAUUGCUCCACUACAAGAUGGACCUGCGUUGUAUUAGCUAGUAGGUGAGGUAAUGGCUCACCUAGGCGACGAUACAUAGCCGACCUGAGAGGGUGAUCGGCCACACUGGGACUGAGACACGGCCCAGACUCCUACGGGAGGCAGCAGUAGGGAAUCUUCGGCAAUGGGGGCAACCCUGACCGAGCAACGCCGCGUGAGUGAAGAAGGUUUUCGGAUCGCAAAGCUCUGUUGUAAGUCAAGAACGGGUGUGAGAGUGGAAAGUUCACACUGUGACGGUAGCUUACCAGAAAGGGACGGCUAACUACGUG
RNAcentral lists this ribosomal RNA (497 nucleotides) under uncultured bacterium. Its description in RNAcentral is "partial 16S ribosomal RNA". It matches the Rfam family "Bacterial small subunit ribosomal RNA", at positions 28 to 507 of the family's 1533-position model. The record is from RNAcentral.